GACGAACGCUGGCGGCGUGCUUAACACAUGCAAGUCGAACGGAAAGGCCCUGCUUUUGUGGGGUGCUCGAGUGGCGAACGGGUGAGUAACACGUGAGUAACCUGCCCUUGACUUUGGGAUAACUUCAGGAAACUGGGGCUAAUACCGGAUAGGAGCUCCUGCUGCAUGGUGGGGGUUGGAAAGUUUCGGCGGUUGGGGAUGGACUCGCGGCUUAUCAGCUUGUUGGUGGGGUAGUGGCUUACCAAGGCUUUGACGGGUAGCCGGCCUGAGAGGGUGACCGGCCACAUGGGGACUGAGGUACGGCCCAGACUCCUACGGGAGGCAGCAGUGGGGAAUAUUGCACAAUGGGCGGAAGCCUGAUGCAGCAACGCCGCGUGCGGGAUGACGGCCUUCGGGUUGUAAACCGCUUUCGCCUGUGACGAAGCGUGAGUGACGGUAAUGGGUAAAGAAGCACCGGCUAACUACGU
RNAcentral lists this ribosomal RNA (467 nucleotides) under uncultured bacterium. RNAcentral's name for it is "partial 16S ribosomal RNA". It matches the Rfam family "Bacterial small subunit ribosomal RNA", at positions 28 to 506 of the family's 1533-position model. The record is from RNAcentral.